GUGGGGAAUUUUGGACAAUGGGCGCAAGCCUGAUCCAGCAAUGCCGCGUGUGUGAAGAAGGCCUUCGGGUUGUAAAGCACUUUUGGCAGGAAAGAAAUAGCGCGUGCUAAUACCAUGCGCGAAUGACGGUACCUGCAGAAUAAGCACCGGCUAACUACGUGCCAGCAGCCGCGGUAAGACGUAGGGUGCAAGCGUUAAUCGGAAUUACUGGGCGUAAAGCGUGCGCAGGCGGUUUUGUAAGACAGGUGUGAAAUCCCCGGGCUCAACCUGGGAACUGCACUUGUGACUGCAAGGCUAGAGUGUGUCAGAGGGAGGUGGAAUUCCGCGUGUAGCAGUGAAAUGCGUAGAGAUGCGGAGGAACACCGAUGGCGAAGGCAGCCUCCUGGGAUAACACUGACGCUCAGGCACGAAAGCGUGGGGAGCAAACAGGAUUAGAUACCCGUGUAGUCC
This 450-nucleotide ribosomal RNA is filed under the name uncultured bacterium. Its description in RNAcentral is "partial 16S ribosomal RNA". It matches the Rfam family "Bacterial small subunit ribosomal RNA", at positions 354 to 796 of the family's 1533-position model. The record is from RNAcentral.